This is a long non-coding RNA of Mytilus trossulus (common blue mussel), 1151 nucleotides long. RefSeq lists it as uncharacterized. The record is from RefSeq and is a predicted model, not a curated record. NCBI's taxonomy places the organism in Eukaryota, Metazoa, Mollusca, Bivalvia, Mytilida, Mytilidae. The transcript has 3 exons.
AAAUCAUCUCUCAACCAACAAACAGUCUGGCAUAUACUGAAUUAGUAUCAUCUUUCAACCAACAAACAGUCUGACAUAUACUGAAUAAGCAUCAUCAUCUUUUAACCAACAAACAGUCAGGCAUAUACCUAAUUAGCAUCAUCAUCUUUCAACCAACAAACAGUCUGGCAUAUACCUAAUUAGCAUCAUCAUCUUUCAACCAACAAACAGUCUGGCAUAAACUAAACAAGGAACAUUAUCUCUUAACCAACAAACAGUCUGGCAUAUAUUCCAUUAGCAUUAUCUUCUAUACCAACAAACAGUCUGGGAUGUACUAAAUGACAAUCCUCAUGUCUCAACCAACAAACAGUCUGGUAUAUAUAAAUUCAGCAUCUUCAUCUCUCAACCAACAAACAAUCUGGUACAUACUGAAUUAAUAUCAUCAUCUCUUUACGAACAAACAGUCUGGCACAUACUGAAUUACCAGCCUGGUGGGUACUGAAUCAACAUCAUGAUCUCUUAAGCUAAAAACAGCCUUAUGUGUACUGAACUAGCAUCAUCAUAUCUCCAACUACUGACAGCAUGGUGUGAUUUGAAUCAACAUUAGCACAUCUCAUUAUUAGACAUACUUGUGUGAACUGAAUCAGCCUCCUCAUCUCUCCAUGACAGAUAACCAUGUUUAAAUUUCAUCAGCAUCAUCAUCUCUCAGCCAACAGACAAUCUAGUAUCGACUUAAUAAGCCUACACAUCUCUCCACCAACAGACAGCCUGGUCUAAACUGGAACAGUCUUUUAAUCUAAAAACUAACAGCCAGCCUGGUCUGUACGGAAUCAGCAUCCUCAUCGCUCCAUUUACAGAUAGCCUGGUGUGUACUGAUACAGACCUCCAUAUCUCGUGAUCAACAGAUAUCAUGGUUUGUACUGAAACAGCUUUUCAUCUAUCAACCAACAAACAACCUGGUGUGUUAUUAAUCAGCAUCAUCAUCCCUCCACCAACAGAAAAACAGCUGAAGCCAACAAGAAUUGACUUUUAGAAAUGAUGUUUGUGCCAUAUGAUAAGUAACAACUACUUAAGUUUAGUUGUGACCUGCAGCAGAUAUUUUAGUCAAUAUUUCACCAUUGUAAAGCCCUGCAGCUGAAGAGUCUCCGAAAAUGCUAAGUAUUUUACUGCUU